GAUGAACGCUGGCGGCGUGCCUAAUACAUGCAAGUCGAGCGAACGGACGAGAAGCUUGCUUCUCUGAUGUUAGCGGCGGACGGGUGAGUAACACGUGGAUAACCUACCUAUAAGACUGGGAUAACUUCGGAAAACCGGAGCUAAUACCGGAUAAUAUUUUGAACCGCAUGGUUCAAAAGUGAAAAACGGUCUUGCUGUCACUUAUAGAUGGAUCCGCGCUGCAUUAGCUAGUUGGUAAGGUAACGGCUUACCAAGGCAACGAUGCAUAGCCGACCUGAGAGGGUGAUCGGCCACACUGGAACUGAGACACGGUCCAGACUCCUACGGGAGGCAGCAGUAGGGAAUCUUCCGCAAUGGGCGAAAGCCUGACGGAGCAACGCCGCGUGAGUGAUGAAGGUCUUCGGAUCGUAAAACUCUGUUAUUAGGGAAGAACAUAUGUGUAAGUAACUGUGCACAUCUUGACGGUACCUAAUCAGAAAGCCACGGCUAACUACGUG
Molecule: ribosomal RNA, 497 nt
Filed under: uncultured bacterium
Lineage: Bacteria
Description: partial 16S ribosomal RNA
Rfam family: Bacterial small subunit ribosomal RNA
Source: RNAcentral